RNAcentral lists this transfer RNA (80 nucleotides) under Syntrophaceae bacterium. RNAcentral's name for it is "tRNA-Lys". It matches the Rfam family "tRNA". From Rfam's summary of the family: Transfer RNA (tRNA) molecules are approximately 80 nucleotides in length. Their secondary structure includes four short double-helical elements and three loops (D, anti-codon, and T loops). Lineage: Bacteria; Pseudomonadati; Thermodesulfobacteriota; Syntrophia; Syntrophales; Syntrophaceae. The record is from RNAcentral.
GGGCCGUUAGCUCAGCGGUAGAGCAGNNCAGCGGACUUUUAAUCCGUUGGCCGCGGGUUCAAUCCCCGCACGGCCCACCA